Molecule: ribosomal RNA, 253 nt
Filed under: uncultured prokaryote
Description: partial 16S ribosomal RNA
Rfam family: Bacterial small subunit ribosomal RNA
Source: RNAcentral
UACGUAGGGUGCGAGCGUUAAUCGGAAUUACUGGGCGUAAAGCGUGCGCAGGCGGUUGUGUAAGACAGAUGUGAAGUCCCCGGGCUCAACCUGGGAACUGCAUUUGUGACUGCACGGCUGGAGUGCGGCAGAGGGGGAUGGAAUUCCGCGUGUAGCAGUGAAAUGCGUAGAGAUGUGGAGGAAUACCGAUGGCGAAGGCAGCCCCCUGGGAUAACACUGACGCUCAUGCACGAAAGCGUGGGGAGCAAACAGG